UUACCAGUAAGUGUAAGUACGAUCCUACACAAUUUGACAUCACACACUCCAGCGCCGAAGACAUCAUUAAAGAGCUCCUCCAGAGAGAUCCUGCCAAGCGCUUAGGAGUCCAUGGUAACAUCAGAGGCCAUCAUUUCUUCCAGCAUAUUGACUGGGUCUCUGUGGAAGCCCUUGAGAUGCCACCACCACACAUCCCUGUACCAUCUAUACCUCAACGCUGUCCCAAACCAUUCAACCUGGGCAAAAUGGAGGCAGCCGCCAAGAAGCGACGAUUGCCACUGAAACAUCAGGCCAUUUUCAGAGGGUUAUCAUUUGUCACCCAGUAAACCCUCCACCAGCUCUAAUGUCACCAGAGCAAGAUGUCCUCCUGAGCCCCUGGAGAAGAUGAAUGGAUGGACAGAAGAACAGAUCCAGUAUGAAGACAACAGGUAAGUAUAGACUGGAUCCUGGAAGCCCUCCCUGCGAUUGGACUGAAGGAAAACAUCUUGAAGACAUCUUGACGACAGAGGACACUGAUCCUGGAGCCGAUCCCACUGGAUGAUGGAUGUGUACGGGCAUUUGAUCCAGGGACUAUUUUCCCACUGCUUUAUUUGCAGUCUGGAAGGAGUGUUUUUCCCCUUAGAUUACGACAGAUUGGCAGAUGUCAUAAAGGGGUUUUUUCUCUCCUUCUUCUGGAUCAACACAGUUGCCCUCCCCAAUUCAGCCAUUCACCUAAUUCAAAGUACAAUUUGGCCAACCCCUUGCGGACCGAUUAUUUAGUGAUUGAUUCUGGGACUAAUCUGACUGCCAUGCAUGGAGUCGGGAAGGAAUUUUUCCUCAUUACAAGCUGAUGGCUGAGGCUCAGUGAGGUUUUUUCGCCUUCCUCUGGAUUAAUAAUAUCUGAUCCAGGGAAAUCGUCUGACUGCCCUAAGCGGAGUCGGGAAGGAAUUUUUCCCCCUACAGGGGGUUUUUUCGCCUUCCCCUGAAUCAAUAAAAGUCAAUGGAUGUAACUUAUCCUCGACUUUGAUUUGCAAUUUACACCAAAACUUCAGUCCCAUCAUUAAUAAGAUUAUAAAUUAAAUAAAAUUCUCCAU
Long non-coding RNA from Bufo bufo (common toad), 1073 nucleotides. RefSeq lists it as uncharacterized. The transcript has 4 exons. NCBI's taxonomy places the organism in Eukaryota, Metazoa, Chordata, Amphibia, Anura, Bufonidae. The record is from RefSeq and is a predicted model, not a curated record.